GAUGAACGCUGGCGGCGUGCUUAACACAUGCAAGUCGAACGAAGCACUUUACGACGAUCCCUUCGGGGUGACAAUAUAGUGACUGAGUGGCGGACGGGUGAGUAACGCGUGGGUAACCUGCCUUAUACUGGGGGAUAACAGUUGGAAACGACUGCUAAUACCGCAUAAGCGCACGAGGUCGCAUGACCUUGUGUGAAAAACUCCGGUGGUAUAAGAUGGACCCGCGUCUGAUUAGCUAGUUGGUGAGGUAAUGGCUCACCAAGGCGACGAUCAGUAGCCGACCUGAGAGGGGUGACCGGCCACAUUGGGACUGAGACACGGCCCAAACUCCUACGGGAGGGCAGCAGUGGGGAAUAUUGCACAAUGGGCGAAAGCCUGAUGCAGCGACGCCGCGUGAGCGAAGAAGUAUUUCGGUAUGUAAAGCUCUAUCAGCAGGGAAGAAAAAAUAGAGGUACCUGACUAAGAAGCUCCGGCGUAAAUACGUAGCCAGCAGCCGUAC
This 499-nucleotide ribosomal RNA is filed under the name uncultured bacterium. RNAcentral's name for it is "bacterial SSU rRNA". It matches the Rfam family "Bacterial small subunit ribosomal RNA", at positions 28 to 520 of the family's 1533-position model. The record is from RNAcentral.